CCGUUAUUAGAUAUCUCCAAUUCAAGUCUUCCUUCCUGAGAUGGAAAAAUAGGAGACAAUUUAAGCUUAGACAUUGAUAUCAGCAUUACUUGAAAGAAAUAGUUAUUAAGCAGCAUAAUACCUUGUUAACAAUGCAUGCAUCACUUGAGAAGUUGUGCCUUUCUUUCUUUGGGACUUCAAGACGAGAAGAGAUGGUAUGUUUCUGUUCUUCUGACUAACAAAUCAUUUUAGGAUGUCAACCAAUCAGUUUAAGAAAACUAGUUUCUAUUUGGAAAAGGCUAUAGGCACAUCUUCAUUUAUGAAAGAGUGCAAGAAAAUAGCAGAGACCACCUCCUCUAACAUAGCCGUCAAGUAGUUGAUCGCAUUCUCUUUUGAUAGGUAGUGCUCAACUUCUGAUAUUGACUUGUUAAUUAUUGUUUACUUCUCAGUUCUCACGUGACUGGGCAACGACAUUUCAUUAUAUACACGCAUAUAUAAAACACCGAACAAAGUACUAGUCUUGACCAAUAACAUCAAAGCCUCAACAAGCAUCAAUGUUUUUCCAGUUAAUGAGCCCAUCGAAUUAGUAGUAACAUAUGUGGGUUUUUUUUUUUUUUUGGAGAACAUAACAUAUGUAGAUUUUCUGAAACUACAAUUUAACAAUUUGAUGGUACUUCUAUGCUGCUUCAACUAUUAUUCUUAGAGAUUAUUGUCAAUUCAAUAGAGAUUUGAAGCAGCUCACUGCUACAAAAUAACUUCAUGUGCUCCUCUGUCAAGUUUUACUCCUAUCCACACUAUACAUCAGCAUUAACAGGAGCAGACCCACAUGGGACCAAGAGCGUUCAUAUGAACCCACUUCGUCAAAAAAUAACAGUGUAUAUAGGUCUAUUUUAUCUUUCUUUGAAAGAGUAUUGAUAUCGAAGGGGAGCCUUGGCGUAACUGGUAAAGUUGUUGUCAUGUGAUCAGGAGGUCACAUGUUCAAGCCAGGGAAACAGCCUCCUGCAUAAAUGUAGGGUAAGGCUGCGUAUAAUAGACCCUUGUGGUCCGAUCGUUCACCGGACCCCGCGCAUAGCGGGACCUUAGUGCACCGGGCUUCCCUUUUUUGAAACAGUAUUGAUAUAGGUUAUAUACUGACCCUGCUUAGAACAAAGAUAGCGUCCAGCCUGCUGGCAAAGUGAGUUCAAGUUUUGCAAACUCUCCUUAGUUCGAAACUAUAUUGGAUGCAACUAUUUCUCUUUAACAAAGCAUAGCUCUCUGUUUCGCUUUAAGGAAACUAUAUUGGAUGCAACUAUUUCAAUGACUCUUAACUAAUGAAGCAAAUUACAAAAUUUAGAGGAAAGGACUUCCUGCUGAGGUAACUAUUAUAGUUCUAACUUUUCCUUAUUUAACCGACUAUCACCAAGUAACUAGCAAAGUAAAAAGUUAGGAUAUCUCUCACACUUUCUGCUAUUGUAAUGGGCUUACUAAGGAGAUUUCCUUUUUCUCAAAUUAUUCAAUCUAAAUACCCAUCACAAGUUCCACCGUGAACUACCAAAAUACACUGAUAAAGUUAGCAUAUAUUGAAAUAAAAUUUGUCAUGAAAAGCUGAAAGGUUAAUACUCCAAAUACGACCACUUCCUUUAACUACCCGUUUGACAUUUAAGGAAACCAUAUAUUAACUAGGAAAUACCAAAGAGAAAUUCAGGAAAAGCUAAAUAAUUGAAGGUGAUGCAACAUGUAAUCAUGAGGAGCUCAAACUACUUUAAACUUCAUGUUUGUGCAUCUAUUGAAAGAUAGAGGAAGACACACUGAAAACCUACCCAACAUGUAAUACUUCAUGAUUGCAACACGUAAUCAUGAAGAGCUCAAAGCAAGUUCUGCCGGUCAAUACAUCUGUAUUAUCUCCUGUGGACUUGAACUUGUAUUCCCAGAGUAACAUGAUAAAACCCCUAAAUCCAGCAGCCGAACAUUCUGAAAAGAAAUAUCCAAAUCACCAUUAGCAUAUUGAAAAACAAAAAAAAAAGGCAACAUAUAACAUGGAGAAUCGACUUCAAACUAUUUUUCCACUAAACAAAAGACGGGAUUACAUAUGCUAUAUUCAUAUUAAGUGAUAUGCACAAAGCUGGCAAAUUGACAAUUCCCAUUUGGAGUUAUAUUUAGCUCCUCUAACAGUUAAGAAGUCAUUUCUAGAAUGAAUGACAUCAACGGUUAAGCGCAAAGAAAUAAUUAUGUGGUUAAAGAUUGCGAUUAACCUUGAAGUUCCGGAAAGAAUGGACCACCGAAACUGCAAAGUUAUAAUAUCAAGGUUCUUCCCGAAAAGUGAAAAAAGCACAGCACGGUCUGUCAAGAUGAUUUAAAAUCUUAACCUUACUGAUCUAAACUGGAAAUAACCCAAAAAAGAAGAGAUAGUAGUCUUUAUAUUAUGAAUAAAGUUUCCUUAGUUGAGGACUAACCACUCAUCAGCACAAUUUGAUGGAAUGAUAUGCUGCAAUAACUGGUUCACC
Molecule: long non-coding RNA, 2462 nt
Filed under: Nicotiana tabacum (common tobacco)
Lineage: Eukaryota; Viridiplantae; Streptophyta; Magnoliopsida; Solanales; Solanaceae
Description: long non-coding RNA (NTAB_LNC011818)
Source: RNAcentral